Molecule: transfer RNA, 60 nt
Filed under: Mileewa albovittata
Lineage: Eukaryota; Metazoa; Arthropoda; Insecta; Hemiptera; Cicadellidae
Description: tRNA-Gly
Source: RNAcentral
AUUCAUUUAGUAUAAAAAGUAUGUGAAGCCUCCAACUUCAAGGUUUUAAUAAAAUGAAUA